UUGAACGCUGGCGGAAUGCUUUACACAUGCAAGUCGAACGGCAGCACGGGGGCAACCCUGGUGGCGAGUGGCGAACGGGUGAGUAAUGUAUCGGAACGUACCCAGUCGUGGGGGAUAACUAUCCGAAAGGAUAGCUAAUACCGCAUAUUCUGUGAGCAGGAAAGCAGGGGAUCGCAAGACCUUGCGCUGAUUGAGCGGCCGAUAUCAGAUUAGCUAGUUGGUGAGGUAAAGGCUCACCAAGGCGACGAUCUGUAGCGGGUCUGAGAGGAUGAUCCGCCACACUGGAACUGAGACACGGUCCAGACUCCUACGGGAGGCAGCAGUGGGGAAUUUUGGACAAUGGGGGCAACCCUGAUCCAGCCAUGCCGCGUGAGUGAAGAAGGCCUUCGGGUUGUAAAGCUCUUUCAGCCGGGAAGAAAUCACAUGGGUUAAUACCCUGUGUGGAUGACGGUACCGGAAUAAGAAGCACCGGCUAACUACGU
This 482-nucleotide ribosomal RNA is filed under the name uncultured bacterium. RNAcentral describes it as "bacterial SSU rRNA". It matches the Rfam family "Bacterial small subunit ribosomal RNA", at positions 30 to 506 of the family's 1533-position model. The record is from RNAcentral.